AGUCGAGUUGUUUGGGAAUGCAGCUCAAAAUGGGUGGUAAAUGCCAUCUAAGGCUAAAUAUUGGGGAGAGACCGAUAGCGAACAAGUACAGUGAUGGAAAGAUGAAAAGAACUUUGAAAAGAGAGUUAAAAAGUACGUGAAAUUGCCAAAAGGGAAGGGUAGGAGGUCAGAGAUGCGUCUUGGGAUUCAGCCUUGCUUUUUGCAUGGUGUUUUUCCCAAGUUGCAGGCCAACGUCGGUUUUGGGCACUGGAGAAGGGUGGAAGGAACGUGGCACCUCUCGGGGUGUGUUAUAGCCUUCUACUGGAUACAGCGACCG
Molecule: ribosomal RNA, 316 nt
Filed under: Sporisorium graminicola
Lineage: Eukaryota; Fungi; Basidiomycota; Ustilaginomycetes; Ustilaginales; Ustilaginaceae
Description: partial large subunit ribosomal RNA
Rfam family: Eukaryotic large subunit ribosomal RNA
Source: RNAcentral